AAAUUGAAGAGUUUGAUCAUGGCUCAGAUUGAACGCUGGCGGCAGGCCUAACACAUGCAAGUCGAGCGGAAACGAGUUGUCAGAACCUUCGGGGAACGAUAACGGCGUCGAGCGGCGGACGGGUGAGUAAUGCCUAGGAAAUUGCCCUGAUGUGGGGGAUAACCAUUGGAAACGAUGGCUAAUACCGCAUGAUGCCUACGGGCCAA
RNAcentral lists this ribosomal RNA (206 nucleotides) under Vibrio parahaemolyticus. Its description in RNAcentral is "partial 16S ribosomal RNA". It matches the Rfam family "Bacterial small subunit ribosomal RNA", at positions 1 to 190 of the family's 1533-position model. Lineage: Bacteria; Pseudomonadati; Pseudomonadota; Gammaproteobacteria; Vibrionales; Vibrionaceae. The record is from RNAcentral.